CAGCGGAGGGAUCAUUACUG
Molecule: ribosomal RNA, 20 nt
Filed under: Colletotrichum acutatum
Lineage: Eukaryota; Fungi; Ascomycota; Sordariomycetes; Glomerellales; Glomerellaceae
Also listed under: 1 other name
Description: partial 18S ribosomal RNA
Source: RNAcentral